RNAcentral lists this ribosomal RNA (614 nucleotides) under uncultured cyanobacterium. Its description in RNAcentral is "bacterial SSU rRNA". It matches the Rfam family "Bacterial small subunit ribosomal RNA", at positions 122 to 770 of the family's 1533-position model. The record is from RNAcentral. Lineage: Bacteria; Bacillati; Cyanobacteriota.
GAAUCUGGCCUCAGGUCUGGGACAACCAUUGGAAACGAUGGCUAAUACCGGAUGUGCCUAUGGGUGAAAGAUUAAUUGCCUGAGGAUGAGCUCGCGUCUGAUUAGCUAGUUGGUGGGGUAAAAGCCUACCAAGGCUGCGAUCAGUAACUGGUCUGAGAGGAUGACCAGUCACACUGGGACUGAGACACGGCCCAGACUCCUACGGGAGGCAGCAGUGGGGAAUUUUCCGCAAUGGGCGAAAGCCUGACGGAGCAAUACCGCGUGAGGGAGGAAGGCUCUUGGGUUGUAAACCUCUUUUCUCAGGGAAGAACACUGACGGUACCUGAGGAAUAAGCCUCGGCUAACUCCGUGCCAGCAGCCGCGGUAAUACGGAGGAGGCAAGCGUUAUCCGGAAUUAUUGGGCGUAAAGCGUCCGCAGGUGGCUUGUCAAGUCUGCUGUCAAAGGUCGAGGCUUAACCUUGAAAAGGCAGUGGAAACUGACAAGCUAGAGGGCUCUAGGGGUAGAGGGAAUUCCCGGUGUAGCGGUGAAAUGCGUAGAGAUCGGGAAGAACAUCGGUGGCGAAAGCGCUCUACUGGAGAGCAACUGACACUCAGGGACGAAAGCUAGGGGAGCG